RNAcentral lists this non-coding RNA (90 nucleotides) under Pseudomonas lurida. The record is from RNAcentral. Lineage: Bacteria; Pseudomonadati; Pseudomonadota; Gammaproteobacteria; Pseudomonadales; Pseudomonadaceae.
UGUGGCGGCGGGCUUGCUCGCGAAUCCAGAGUGUCAGUCACCUGAUGCAUUGACUGAUACACCGCAUUCGCGAGCAAGCCCGCUGCCACC